RNAcentral lists this ribosomal RNA (631 nucleotides) under uncultured Actinomycetales bacterium. RNAcentral's name for it is "bacterial SSU rRNA". It matches the Rfam family "Bacterial small subunit ribosomal RNA", at positions 54 to 700 of the family's 1533-position model. The record is from RNAcentral. Lineage: Bacteria; Bacillati; Actinomycetota; Actinomycetes; Actinomycetales.
AAUGCAAGUCGAACGAUGAAGUUCCUUCGGGAAUGGAUUAGUGGCGAACGGGUGAGGAACACGUGAGAAACCUGCCUUUCAUUCUGGGAUAACACCGGGAAACCGGUGCUAAUACCGGAUACUCCAUCUUGGCGGCAUCGCCGAGCUGGGAAAAAAUUUUGAUGAAAGAUGGUCUCGCGGCCUAUCAGCUAGUUGGUGAGGUAAAGGCUCACCAAGGCGACGACGGGUAGCCGGCCUGAGAGGGCGACCGGCCACACUGGGACUGAGACACGGCCCAGACUCCUACGGGAGGCAGCAGUAGGGAAUAUUGGGCAAUGGGCGAAAGCCUGACCCAGCGACGCCGCGUGAGGGAUGAAGGUCUUCGGAUUGUAAACCUCUUUCAGUAGGGAAGAAGCGAAAGUGACGGUAUCUACAAAAGAAGCACCGGCUAACUAUGUGCCAGCAGCCGCGGUAAUACAUAGGGUGCAAGCGUUGUCCGGAAUUAUUGGGCGUAAAGAGCUCGUAGGUCGUUUGUUACGUCGGAUGUGAAAACCUGAGGCUCAACCUCAGGCCUGCAUUCGAUACGGGCAAACUAGAGUUUGGUAGGGGAGACUGGAAUUCCUGGUGUAGCGGUGGAAUGCGCAGAUAUCAG